This 408-nucleotide ribosomal RNA is filed under the name uncultured bacterium. Its description in RNAcentral is "partial 16S ribosomal RNA". It matches the Rfam family "Bacterial small subunit ribosomal RNA", at positions 28 to 526 of the family's 1533-position model. The record is from RNAcentral.
GACGAACGCUGGCGGCGUGCUUAACACAUGCAAGUCGAACGAAGUGGCGAACGGGUGAGUAACGCGUAAUCAACCUGCCCUUCAGAGGGGGACAACAGUUGGAAACGACUGCUAAUACCGCAUACUGAAGGAGGGGAUUGCGUCUGAUUAGCUAGUUGGAGGGGUAACGGCCAACCAAGGCGAUGAUCAGUCGCCGGGCUGGGAGGGUGGACGGGCACAAUGGGACUGGGGAACGGCCCAGGCUCCUACGGGAGGGAGCAGUGGGGAAUCUUCCGCAAUGGGGGAAAGUCUGGCGGAGCAACGCCGCGGGAGUGAUGACGGCCUUCGGGUUGUAAAGCUCUGUUAAUCGGGACGCGGUACCGGAAUAGAAAGCAACGGCUAACUACGUGCCAGCAGCCGCGGUAAUAC